AAGUCGUAACAAGGUUUCCGUAGGUGAACCUGCGGAAGGAUCAUUAAAAGUGAUUGGUUAUACAUUUCAUGUAUCAACUGCAUUAACCCAUUCCGAGUACCUUGCCUGUUGCUUCCAUGGGGCCUGACCUAGGUCACUCUUGUGAUGUGAAACCCAAGAGAGUCCCCAUGGGAGGUAACUAUCAUAUAUCAUCAUUUCUGACUGAUUGUUAACAAAUGUUAAAA
This 224-nucleotide unclassified non-coding RNA is filed under the name plant metagenome. Its description in RNAcentral is "partial contains small subunit ribosomal RNA and internal transcribed spacer 1". The stretch from base 1 to 46 matches the Rfam family "Eukaryotic small subunit ribosomal RNA", at positions 1786 to 1831 of the family's 1831-position model. The record is from RNAcentral.